GAUGAAGAACGCAGCGAAAUGCGAUAAGUAAUGUGAAUUGCAGAAUUCAGUGAAUCAUCGAAUCUUUGAACGCACAUUGCGCCCGGCAGUACUCUGCCGGGCAUGCCUGUUCGAGCGUCAUUUCAACCCUCAAGCCCUGCUUGGUGUUGGGGCCCCACGGCUGCCGUGGGCCCUGAAAGGAAGUGGCGGGCUCGCUACAACUCCGAGCGUAGUAAUUCAUUAUCUCGCUUAGAGCGUUGGGCGGCGCUCCAGCCGUUAAAGAACCAUCUUUAACUCAAGGUUGACCUCGGAUCAGGUAGGAAUACCCGCUGAACUUAAGCAUAUCAAUAAGCGGAGGA
This 338-nucleotide unclassified non-coding RNA is filed under the name soil metagenome. RNAcentral's name for it is "partial contains 5.8S ribosomal RNA, internal transcribed spacer 2, and large subunit ribosomal RNA". The stretch from base 1 to 120 matches the Rfam family "5.8S ribosomal RNA", at positions 35 to 154 of the family's 154-position model. The record is from RNAcentral.